Canis lupus familiaris (dog) is the source of this 699-nucleotide long non-coding RNA. RefSeq lists it as uncharacterized. The transcript is spliced from 2 exons. The record is from RefSeq and is a predicted model, not a curated record. NCBI's taxonomy places the organism in Eukaryota, Metazoa, Chordata, Mammalia, Carnivora, Canidae.
CGGGGCGUGGGCGUGUCUAGCGCGGGAGGCGCUGUCCCGCCUCCAGGAACAGAGAGUGCUGGGCCAGAGCCCCUCAGAUUGCACAGAGGAUGAGGACAGAUGAAGUCAUACCCGGGGCUGCCUGGAGACACAGCUCUGGAAGGAUGCUCCCGACCGACCGACCGACCGACCGAUAGCCAGCAUGGUGUCCUCUUACACAUUCCUUCUCAAUGUUUGUAAAACUCAAGGAUAUGCAUCAACCUUCAGGAAUGGGAAUGAUUCUACUGACCCAAUGUCGUGAUGCUUGUGUUUUGAAUAUUUUUUUUUUUUUAGAUCUGAGCUGAGUAUAUUAAUUAAUCCAAAUUCUAGCUGGCUCUCCCUCUGAGUAUAAAUAGUGAAAACAGAGUUAUUGGCCCAAACUUGAAGGCGUGUUCCAAAGUCCACAGACUGCCUAAGUAGGAAGACAAGGUUCUGAUUCUCCCUCUCUUGCUAGUUGAAUAACUUGGGGCAGCUCACUUAUUUCUGAAGGCACAGAAGAGGAACGGGACCCACACUCAGUCAAGUCCACUGUUAUAUGUUCUACUAACACACUGGAUUUCAUCAUCUUAUCAUUUAUAUGCAUUUAUCACAACAUUUAUCACAAUUGAUUUUAUAUCACUGUGCAAUUAUUUAUUAUUUGUCUCUUCCACUAGAAUAAAAUUAAUGCUUUAGCUAGUUAUA